GCGACCCCAGGUCAGGCGGGACUACCCGCUGAAUUUAAGCAUAUAAAUAAGCGGAGGAGAAGAAACUUACAAGAUUCCCCUAGUAACGGC
RNAcentral lists this ribosomal RNA (90 nucleotides) under Lolium loliaceum. RNAcentral describes it as "partial 26S ribosomal RNA". It matches the Rfam family "Eukaryotic large subunit ribosomal RNA", at positions 1 to 90 of the family's 3401-position model. Lineage: Eukaryota; Viridiplantae; Streptophyta; Magnoliopsida; Poales; Poaceae. The record is from RNAcentral.